UACGUAGGGUGCAAGCGUUAAUCGGAAUUACUGGGCGUAAAGCGUGCGCAGGCGGUUGUGGUAGGACAGGAUGUGAAAUCCCCGGGCUCAACCUGGGAACUGCAUUUGUGACUGCACGGCUGGAGUGCGGCAGAGGGGGAUGGAAUUCCGCGUGUAGCAGUGAAAUGCGUAGAUAUGUGGAGGAAUACCGAUGGCGAAGGCAGCCCCUGGGAUAACACUGACGCUCAUGCACGAAAGCGUGGGGAGCAAACAGG
This 254-nucleotide ribosomal RNA is filed under the name uncultured bacterium. RNAcentral's name for it is "partial 16S ribosomal RNA". It matches the Rfam family "Bacterial small subunit ribosomal RNA", at positions 524 to 776 of the family's 1533-position model. The record is from RNAcentral.